ACUUAAAAAGCUCGCUAGUUGGAUUUACUGGGAGGGUGCCAAUGUACCGCCGACGUGCGUGUGCAGCAGCGCCCUCUCAUCCUUCUGUUAACGCCUCUUGGCAUUCAUUUGCUGGUGGCGGGCUCAGAUAUUUUACCUUGAGAAAAUUAGAGUGUUCAAAGCAGGCAUUGUGCUUGAAUAUGUUAGCAUGGAAUAAUAGCAUAGGACUCCAUGUUCUACUUGUUGGUUGUCCGAGAACUAAGUAAUGAUUGAUAGGGACGGU
This 262-nucleotide ribosomal RNA is filed under the name uncultured marine eukaryote. Its description in RNAcentral is "partial 18S ribosomal RNA". It matches the Rfam family "Eukaryotic small subunit ribosomal RNA", at positions 619 to 882 of the family's 1831-position model. The record is from RNAcentral.